Molecule: ribosomal RNA, 445 nt
Filed under: uncultured bacterium
Lineage: Bacteria
Description: bacterial SSU rRNA
Rfam family: Bacterial small subunit ribosomal RNA
Source: RNAcentral
ACUCCUACGGGAGGCAGCAGUGGGAAUCUUGGACAAUGGGCGCAAGCCUGAUCCAGCCAUGCCGCGUGAGUGAUGAAGGCCUUAGGGUCGUAAAGCUCUUUCGCCAGGGAUGAUAAUGACAGUACCUGGUAAAGAAACCCCGCUAACUCCGUGCCAGCAGCCGCGGUAAUACGGAGGGGUUAGCGUUGUUCGGAAUUACUGGGCGUAAAGCGCACGUAGGCGGAUUGGAAAGUUGGGGGUGAAAUCCCAGGGCUCAACCCUGGAACUGCCUCCAAAACUACCAGUCUAGAGUUCGAGAGAGGUGAGUGGAAUUCCGAGUGUAGAGGUGAAAUUCGUAGAUAUUCGGAGGAACACCAGUGGCGAAGGCGGCUCACUGGCUCGAUACUGACGCUGAGGUGCGAAAGUGUGGGGAGCAAACAGGAUUAGAUACCCUGGUAGGCUCUGC